UGCUGCGAGUGGCGGACGGGUGAGUAAAGCUUGGGAAUCUGUCUUAUGAGGGGGAGUAACUACGGGAAACUGUAGCUAAUACCGCGUAACAUCUUACGGAGUUAAAGUGUUGGGCUCUUCGGACCACACGCCAUAAGUUGAGCCCAAGUGGGAUUAGGUAGUUGGUGGGGUAAAGGCCUACCAAGCUGACGAUCUCCAGCUGGUCUGAGAGGAUGACCAGCCACACUGGAACUGAGACACGGUCCAG
RNAcentral lists this ribosomal RNA (247 nucleotides) under uncultured bacterium. RNAcentral describes it as "partial 16S ribosomal RNA". It matches the Rfam family "Bacterial small subunit ribosomal RNA", at positions 87 to 334 of the family's 1533-position model. The record is from RNAcentral.